UCCUGGCUCAUGACGAACGCUGGCGGCGUGCCUAACACAUGCAAGUCCAACGAAGUAAGUUGCUUCACCAAAUGUUGAAUAACCACCCCAAGCGCAUUUGCCCAAGGGGAAGGUAAAGUACAAAUAUUAAUAAAAUGGUGAAACACUAAGGAUUAAGCAAAGGAAGCAAAUGCGCUUCGCGCUAAUUCCAAGUACCAACACAAAACAAAUUCAAUAUUUGGUGAAGUAACUUACUUAGUGGCGGACGGGUGAGUAACGCGUGAAUAAUCUGCCCCAUACAGGGGGAUAGCCUCGGGAAACCGGGAUUAAAACCGCAUGAUGCUUUUUUAUCGCAUGGUAGAGAAGUCAAAUCGAAUAAGAGGUAUGGGAUGAGUUCGCGUCUGAUUAGCUGGUUGGCGGGGUAAGAGCCCACCAAGGCGACGAUCAGUAGCCGGCCUGAGAGGGUGACCGGCCACACUGGAACUGAGACACGGUCCAGACUCCUACGGGAGGCAGCAGUGGGGAAUAUUGCACAAUGGAGGGAACUCUGAUGCAGCGACG
Molecule: ribosomal RNA, 540 nt
Filed under: uncultured bacterium
Lineage: Bacteria
Description: bacterial SSU rRNA
Rfam family: Bacterial small subunit ribosomal RNA
Source: RNAcentral